AAUAGAUACCCCGGUAGUCCACGCUGUAAACGAUGGAUACUAGCUGUCGGGGUAUCGACCCCCUCGGUAGCGAAGCUAACGCGUUAAGUAUCCCGCCUGUGGAGUACGGUCGCAAGACUAAAACAUAAAGGAAUUGACGGGGAUCAGCACAAGCGGUGGAUCGUGUUCUUUAAUUCGAUGAUAAACGAAGAACCUUACCAGGGCUUGACAUCCAGGGAAGCACUACGAAAGUAGAGUGUGCCUUUUGGAACCCUGUGACAGGUGUUGCAUGGCCGUCGUCAGCUCGUGUCGUGAGAUGUUUGGUUAAGUCCAUCAACGAGCGCAACCCUUGUGAAUAGUUGUAUUUUUCUAUUCAGACUGCUCUAGUAAUAGGGAGGAAAGGAGGGGAUGAUGUCAGGUCAGUAUUACCCUUACGUCCUGGGCUAGAAACACGAUACAAUGGCAAGUACAAUGCGCAGCGAAGCAGUGAUGUGGAGCAAAUCGCACCAAAGCUUGUCCCAGUUCGGAUAAGAGGCUGAAACUCGCCUCUUU
Molecule: ribosomal RNA, 531 nt
Filed under: uncultured bacterium
Lineage: Bacteria
Description: bacterial SSU rRNA
Rfam family: Bacterial small subunit ribosomal RNA
Source: RNAcentral